GGUGAUGGCCUGCCGAGGCCUUGUAAAUCUUCUCGGCAAGGGUGGCUUGCCGGGGCUCAGUCCUUCUUCCUCGUCGGGAGGGUAUCGCCGUGGUAUUAUCUAUCUCCCCGGCAGGGAGCUCCUGUCGGGGUCUCUUGUUCCUUCCCAGCAAGCGAGUGCUUGUCGGGGCUUGCGAUAUGCAUUUGCUAGCUUCUAAGUAUUGCUUUCGCCCUAAGCUCCAACGACGCGCCUUGCCCAUGUCGAGGGGCUGUCGGUAUCCGCGCACUAGUCCGGGGAACUAGAGACCCCAUUCUUUAGUGCACCGACAAAAACUUGCUAUAUUGUAGAGUUUUAUUGGUGUCAACAUGCCACGAGGUUAAAAACUGCAAGUGCAAACUGAGAUUUUGACCAAGUCCUAAUAUGUACUAUUUCUUGCCAUGUUGAGAGCUUGGUUGCCAUUGUUUCAUGAACCUAUCCAUGUUGUUGUUAGUUAGGGAUUGUUGUGAUCUUUGAUGGCUUCAUGUUCAUGUCUUUGGUGACCUUGUUGAGUUGUUGUAGCUACUAGUUUGAACUUGAUCAAGGUGGUAUGCUGUUGUUUGUGGUCAGAUUGGUUGCUAAAGUAUUUUGUGCUUUGUGUGAGUUGUGCUCCCUUUCUUUGCAUGAUAUUUAGAUAUAUUCCACCUGGAAUUUCGUGCCCAAUCCAGUGGAAUACUUAAAUUGACAAGAAAAUACCCAUAGCUCCCUAUCAAAUCCUGCUUAGUCAUUGUUGCCUUCUGUAUCUUGUUUCGUGAAUUCCAGGAGUUCCGUAGAUCGGUUACGACGUUCCUUAUAUGUUUUUGGACCAUUUUAUCAUGAUGGGUCAAUUCAUUCCAUGUUCAUGCAUUCCAACAUUAAUAUACUUGGGGUUCUUUAUAGAAUGCUAAACAACUUAAUAAAUGCAUGAUAAAGAUGACUACUUAGCAUUGCCAUGCUCCUUUCAUAACCACACUCAUGCAUCACAUUGUUUAAAGAAUUGCACCUUGCCGUGUGUUCAUUGGAUGUGUAUUUUAUUUGUGUAGAAAUGGGAGCUGAGAACGAGUGCGAGGAUCACGCUGACUAUGUUUCUAAAGAGCAAGAUAUUUACCCGUCAGAAGAACCAACAUGUAAGAUGACUCUGGCCUUGAUAUCGUUACUAAUUUCGUUGUGCUUAGUUCACUUGUUUCUUUCGCUAUCUAUCACUUCCUACCACCUGAAUAAAUAGGCUCCAAAAAUUGCCAUGAAAAGCAUCUAACCCUCCACAACCAAGGAAAUAUUGAUUAGCUAAGGUAGCGCUUGCUCAACCCUCUGAUAGCAUUGCUAGUUGCAGGUCCAGGCUGAUCCAUGUGUUAACAUGUGCUUUUCAAUAUCAUCUUAUUAUUGAUAUUUAAUUUAAUGCACCUAUAUACUUGGUAAAAGGCGGAAGGCUUGGCCAUUUGCUGGAUGUUUUGUUAUGCUUUUGACACUUAGUUUUGGCUACCGGUGUUAAGUUCCAUAUUGAGCGCUCCUAACAUGCUUGGGGUUGUCAUGGGGACCCCCUUGAUAACUCGUUUUGGUUAAGACUUGUCUAGCAAUACCCAACUUUGGUAGUCAAUUUUCUAAACAAAUUAAUAAUAAAAAUCAUAGGGAAUAGCUACCCCAAGGAUAAUUAAUCAACCCCGGGCCAGUGCUCCUCAUAAGUGUUUUUCCAACCAGAGCACUGUGCGGGGCCAACCUGGGAUAACUUGUGUGAUCUCUAUCAGGCCGUGCACACUAGCCUAUCCGUCGUAUCCUGAGAUUGAGAUACAUGGGUGUUCUCGGUUUCGUCAACAUGUCGGGCGGUCUUGCUAGAUUUGUCUUCAUCUCUUCGAGGUGUCUGGUGCAUCGGGAUUCCAAGGAGACUUUGGGCUAUCUCAAGGUUGAGGUUUUCCACUAAGGAAUCCGAGGAGUUCAUGGGUUUUCCGUGGUUGAGACUUCCUAUGCAGCUUGUGGUAGUUUGUGAUGGACUAGUUGGAGCACCCCUGUAGGGUUAAUACAUUUUGGAAAGCCAUGCCCCUGGUUAUGUAGCAACUUGGAAAAUUUGUUUAGCAUCCGGUUCUAUAUAACUUGAAGUAAACUUAAUUAAAAUAUGCUAACUGUGUGCAUUACCGUGAUUGUCUCUUUGGCGAGCUCCUUCUCCGGCUGAGGACAUGGUGGGGUUCCGACUAACGUAAGUAGGUGUUCAGGAUCACUUAGUGAUCGAUAGGUAGUUCCCGACCGGCAUGCAUUACGUUCUCGUAAGUUAGCCACCAUAUUUGGUUAGUAUUGCUGCAACCGAAACACUUAACCUUCCAUACCCAAUAACUUCUUUAGUUUCGGUCUCAUGGUCGCAAGAUUGCUGAGUCCCUAUGGCUCACAGAUUACUACAACACCACAGGUCCAGGUACCGUAGAUCGAGAGACGUUUGAUGCUACGCAACUUCAGCAGGAGUUCGAUGAAGGAAGUGGGCGCAUGUACGUGAUGUACCCUGACGAUUAGAGGACAUUGGACAUCUCCUGAGCUAGCGAGACAGAGUCAUUUCUUUUACCUUUUAUCUUAUCUGUAGUCAGAACGUGUGUUAUGGAUAAUUGGAUAAUGUUAUGUGGCUAGUAACUUAACUUGUGGUGAGUGUAAGCCAUUCCAUAUACUCAUCUCUUCAUGUAUGUAUUGCGAUGAUUUCUGUACUUGCGAAAUGCUAAGAUGCGUCUCUUCCCAUAUUAAGACCUCAUCCCCAAAUAGGGAAAGUGCCGCAUCUUGGACGUUACAUAUCAAGAGUUCAUGUAUU
RNAcentral lists this long non-coding RNA (2776 nucleotides) under Hordeum vulgare. RNAcentral's name for it is "long non-coding RNA (HVUL_LNC004024)". Lineage: Eukaryota; Viridiplantae; Streptophyta; Magnoliopsida; Poales; Poaceae. The record is from RNAcentral.